Molecule: long non-coding RNA, 2008 nt
Organism: Marmota monax (woodchuck)
Lineage: Eukaryota; Metazoa; Chordata; Mammalia; Rodentia; Sciuridae
Exons: 5
Source: RefSeq, a predicted model, not a curated record
CCGGGCAGUGUGUGUGGCCCUCGUGCAGGGGGCGGGAGCCGGCGGGAGAAUCGGGAAGGCGGGAAGCGGAGCCCCGAAGACGCUGAGGAGCGCAGCUUCGGAAAGCUCGCCCUUCCCGCGGAGCCCUGAAGGAGGCCACAGGCGCCGCGCCGCAUUCGGCGCCAGGCAAGCGCCGCCCUGGUGACCGCGACCAGCGCAGUGUCCUGGCUUCCCGAGGGUCUUGCUAAGGUGCUGAGUCUGGCCCAGAACCUGCGAUCCUCCUGCCUCAGCCUCCUGAGUAGACGGGAUGACAGGCACGUGCCACCACACCUGGAAAAAGCCCCGUGUCCCUGUGUCCAGAUGGGCGUGGCGUUCCCAGGGCGUGUGUCCUUACCCGCUGCUGCUGAAUCUGUCACCCUCCCCAUUUUUGUUGAAGAGGAAACCGAGAUCUGAAGAGGUCCAGCCACUGAACCCGAACACAGCUCCCCUGGGAGUGGCUCUGGGCCGGCUCCACCUGCACAGCAGGGCUUGGGCCCUGUGGGUGGCCAGCUGACACUGGCCAGGAGGCCGGCCGACUGUGGGAAGAGACCACCUAGAACUCAGGUGGCCAGCACACUCGUCCAAGUGGAGACUCCAGCCACUCUAGAAUGACAUGACUCAGUUCAACAGAACCAGACAGCUGACGUGCGUCUGGAACCCCAUGCAAGUGAUUAAUCUGUCAAGUGGAUUAAUCCACUGAUAAGCCAUCUUGAUCCAACGACUCCCCAAACCCCACCUCUGGAUGUUGCUGCACUGGGAUCCAGGUCUUCAGCACGCCAGCUCUUGGUGGACAUCGUCCAUCCAAACCGGAACGUAACCUGCUAACUUCACUCUUCUGCUCUCGGACUUGCUCAAGGUCAAGGUCAUCCAGCGGGGUGGUUGUGUCUCCACGGUUCUCUCCCAUCCUCCAUCUUCUGGCGCUCAGCACUAGGAAAGCAACUUCCUGAGAAAUGUGCGCCAGGUCACCUUGUGUCCUCCCGUAUCUGAAAACAGAUUCAUUUUACCUUUCAAACGUUGACUGUUCCAGAUGCUAGUUUGGAAAUUAUUGUCCCUCAGGAGUUUGGAAGCAGUGCUCAGUUUUCUUCUAGCGCCCAGAGUUACGGAUGAGGCACCUGAGGCCAAGCUGACUCUUGCACCUACCGAUUUGGUAAGUUUAUAGGAUGUUUCCACUCUUAUAUUUUGAAUUGUUUUCUUUGGUACCGGGAAUUGAACACAGGGCGCUUGACCACUGAGCCGCAUCCCCAGCUCCCCCUUUAUUUCUGUAUUUUUAUUUAAAGAUGAGAUCUUGCUGAGUUGCUUAGGGCCUCGCUAAAUUGCUGAGGCUGGCCUCAAAUCCACGAUCCUCCUGCCUCAGCCUCCUGAGCCACUGGGAUUACAGGUGUGUAUCACUGCGUGUGGCUUAAUUUUCUGCCUUUUUACCUUAUUCCAUAUUUUGAGAAAAUUUUUUCUAUGUAGACCUAGACAUAUGCACAAACACGUAGAUAUAAAUACAAAUAUAUUACGUAUAUAUUGCCUUUUCUAUUUGUAUGAAGAAUGUCAUUGGGAUUUUAAUAGGAACGGCAUUAAGUCUGUAUAACGCUUUUGGUAGUAUGGUCAUUACAACAAUUUUUAUACACAUGUAAAUAAAAUUUGACAGCACUUCAAAAUUAAUGGACAUUUUUAUGGUUUUCUUCUUUUUUUGUAUCUUCUUAUGCUUGGCUUAUUUAUUCAAUAUAUUCUUUUCUAAAAGAUCCAAGAAAUAAUUUAUCGAAUUCACAAUUUAUACUUAUUUUAUUUUUGGCACUGGGGAUCUAUCCCAGGGGCACUUUGCCAGUAACCCCAUACCUCACCCUUUUCAUUUUUUAUUCUGUGGCAGGGUCUGAGUUGCUGAGGGUCUCGCUACAUGGCUGAGGCUGGCCUCAAUGUUGCAGUCCUCCUGUCUUGGCCUCCUGGGUCAUUGGGAUUACAGAUGUGUGCCACUGCGCUCAACACAACUCACAUUUUUAAAAUC